CCUCACACUCACAUGCAUGCACACUCAUGUCACAGGGAGUCACACCCUCACACUCACAUCCUCCCAGGCACACUCACAAUCAAGCCUUCACACGCACAACAGUCACACCCUCACAUGCAGUCACACCCACAUGCACACUCAUGCACAAUCACAUCCUCCCAGGCAGUCACUCGCACAUGCAGUCACACAUUCACUCACAGGCAGUCACACUCUCAUGCACUCAGUCACACCCUCACAUGCACACUCAUUGACACCUUCACAUGCAGUCACACCUGCACUGUCACACCCACACAUGCACACU
Molecule: long non-coding RNA, 301 nt
Filed under: Homo sapiens (human)
Lineage: Eukaryota; Metazoa; Chordata; Mammalia; Primates; Hominidae
Description: non-protein coding lnc-C14orf180-1:1
Source: RNAcentral